CCUACGGGGGGCAACAGUGAGGAAUAUUGGUCAAUGGACGAGAGUCUGAACCAGCCAAGUAGCGUGAAGGAUGACUGCCCUAUGGGUUGUAAACUUCUUUUAUAUGGGAAUAAAACGUUCCACGUGUGGGAUUUUGUAUGUACCAUAUGAAUAAGGAUCGGCUAACUCCGUGCCAGCAGCCGCGGUAAUACGGAGGAUCCGAGCGUUAUCCGGAUUUAUUGGGUUUAAAGGGAGCGUAGGUGGAUUGUUAAGUCAGUUGUGAAAGUUUGCGGCUCAACCGUAAAAUUGCAGUUGAAACUGGCAGUCUUGAGUACAGUAGAGGUGGGCGGAAUUCGUGGUGUAGCGGUGAAAUGCUUAGAUAUCACGAAGAACUCCGAUUGCGAAGGCAGUUCACUGGACUGCAACUGACACUGAGGCUCGAAAGUGUGGGUAUCAAACAGGAUUAGAUACCCCUGUAGUC
This 460-nucleotide ribosomal RNA is filed under the name uncultured bacterium. RNAcentral's name for it is "partial 16S ribosomal RNA". It matches the Rfam family "Bacterial small subunit ribosomal RNA", at positions 338 to 795 of the family's 1533-position model. The record is from RNAcentral.